AUGCAUGUGAGCUGGCUCUGGGGAAUGGGGAUGGGAUCACAAGGAGAUGGUAACAGACAAGGGAGCUGUUUGUGCUUGGAAGGUUGCCGACUCAAGGGCCAUCACGGCCUAGUGCUGCAGGAAAGAUGGCGUACGGCUCUAUGCCUCUGGCUAGCUAGCAUCCUUUACCGCUGCAGCUUAAGCUUUCCGGUGAAUGAAUUUCCAGCUGCUGAUCGUGCCUGCGCGUGGAGGGUGUCAUGUCGUGUCAUUCCGAUCGGGUGCAUGGUCGAAAUCGAAUGGCUCAAUCAGUCAGCUGGCCACAGUGCGUCCCGUGAUCACCCACUAGCCAGGGUUCAUGGUCUUGCACUACGCGGCACGUACGUACGUUGGUCGUAG
This 375-nucleotide ribosomal RNA is filed under the name Triticum aestivum (bread wheat). RNAcentral describes it as "partial small subunit ribosomal RNA". Lineage: Eukaryota; Viridiplantae; Streptophyta; Magnoliopsida; Poales; Poaceae. The record is from RNAcentral.